GGAGAGUUGUCCGAGUGGUUUAAGGUGCUGCUCUCGAAAAGCAGUGUGCUAUAAGCACCGUGGGUUCGAAUCCCAUGCUCUCCG
RNAcentral lists this transfer RNA (84 nucleotides) under Lachnotalea glycerini. It matches the Rfam family "tRNA". From Rfam's summary of the family: Transfer RNA (tRNA) molecules are approximately 80 nucleotides in length. Lineage: Bacteria; Bacillati; Bacillota; Clostridia; Lachnospirales; Lachnospiraceae. The record is from Rfam by way of RNAcentral.